CACAACAAAGGUGCUUCGAAGGAGCUCCCAAAUAGCAUAAAUAGAGCCUUGGCGACACUCUACACCAGUGCACUCCAAAGUUGGUCCGUCUAAAGUAUCGCUGAGUCUAAAAUACUGCUGAAAGUCAACCGUUAUUAAAUAUGUCUCACGUUUAUGGUAGAGCUAACGAUCACGUUUCCCGUGCAAAGGUUUGCACAACUGAAGAAUUGCGGGCUGAAAAAGAAGCCACAAAAAAGGAGAAAAAAUGCGUCAGGUUUGCAACGCUCCCAUCACUCCACAACGGCUGGGAGCACACAAUCCGACCAACGACAGAGAGAGUGCGGGACGUACAAAGGCUUAUCACACAUUUGAUUUCCAUGUGUGACAACUGCAAGUGUCCAGAGUGAGGACAGACUGAGGGAGCCACUGCUGCACAUCACCUGUGAGGCUUUGCACCCCUGAUGAUCCACCAGGACAAACUCAGCAGUGUGUGAGGAAGAGGAGGAGGAAGAUCCAGCAGCAGCUGACAGAUGGAGAGAAUAGACAGACUGUUCCCUGUUUGUGAAGGACUGCUAGGAAAGUUAAAAAUAACUAAUUGCCUGUCCUGAAUCAGUCUCAUUAGCUAUCUUUUACGGUGUGGUCUGCUGGGGCGGCAACAUCUCUGCUGCAACAGGAAGAAACUGAACAGGCUGAUUCGAAGGGCCAGCUCUGUUGUAGGAUGCCCUCUGGACUCAGUGGAGGUGGAGAAUCUGACAGCUCCUUCAGUGGCAGGCUGCGGCACCCACGGAGAGGUUUCGCAGGUCUUUCCUCCCCACUGCUAUCAGACUCUACAACAAAGACUUUUGCAGCUGAUCAAACCCACACGUGCAAUAAGACUGCUAUAAGUGCAAUUCUUUUUCUGACAAAGUUGUACUUUUGUAUUUUCUUACUCAGCUGUAUAUAGCAUUUGUAUUCUAUUGUGUUCUAUUGUAUAUAUUAUUCUAUUUCAUUAUUUUGUUAUAGUUUUAUCUUAUCUUAUCUUAUUGUAUAUAGUAUUUUAUUUUAUUUUAUUCCAUUCCAGUGUUUUCUAAUUUCUGCUACAUAACUUUGCACUUUUGCUGUAACGAAACAAAUUUCCCACCUGUGGGACUAAUAAAUAGAAUAGAAUAGAAUUCAACUUUAUUGUCAUUGCACAUGCACAGGUACAGGGCAACGAAAUGCAGUUUACAUCCAUCCAGAAUUGCUUUAGUGAUAUAGAUAUAUUACAAUAUAUAUUAGCAAUAAUAUAGAUAUGUAAGUAUAUUACAGAAAUGGGUCUAUUAUGGUAUGUUAUAAUGUACAUGGUAUGAAGUAUGUUGUGAAUAUUCUAUAACUAUAAGUAUGUACAGGCUGUAGUGAGUACAAGCUAUGUACAGGCUAUGAACAGGAUAUAAAUAUGAAAAACUAUACGGAAUAUGAAAUAAAUAACUUUACAGAAAUCUGAGAUAUACAGCUAUACAGAAAUGGGAACUAUGCAAGUUGUAAACAGUUGUAGG
Astatotilapia calliptera (eastern happy) is the source of this 1493-nucleotide long non-coding RNA. The record is from Ensembl. Lineage: Eukaryota; Metazoa; Chordata; Actinopteri; Cichliformes; Cichlidae.